This 337-nucleotide unclassified non-coding RNA is filed under the name soil metagenome. Its description in RNAcentral is "partial contains 5.8S ribosomal RNA, internal transcribed spacer 2, and large subunit ribosomal RNA". The stretch from base 1 to 120 matches the Rfam family "5.8S ribosomal RNA", at positions 35 to 154 of the family's 154-position model. The record is from RNAcentral.
GAUGAAGAACGUAGCGAAAUGCGAUAAGUAGUAUGAAUUGCAGAAUUCAGUGAAUCAUCGAAUCUUUGAACGCACAUUGCGCCCCUUGGUAUUCCAUGGGGCAUGCCUGUUCGAGCGUCAUUUGUACCUUCAAGCUCUGCUUGGUGUUGGGUGUUUGUCUCGCCUCUGCGUGUAGACUCGCCUUAAAACAAUUGGCAGCCGGCGUAUUGAUUUCGGAGCGCAGUACAUCUCGCGCUUUGCACUCAUAACGACGACGUCCAAAAGUACAUUUUUACACUCUUGACCUCGGAUCAGGUAGGGAUACCCGCUGAACUUAAGCAUAUCAAUAAGCGGAGGA